AGUCAAGGCAGCUAUAGGUGGUUAUUUUUGUACUGAAUAUGCAAUAUAGAAGUAAUAUAGUAAAUUUAUUUGUUCAACUAAUAUUUAACAUCUAAUUUGCAGUUGGCCACUUUCAAAAUUAAUUCCAUAAGAUUUUGAUUUAUUUGAAUCUACACUGAAGCAAUGCCGACCGAAAUCUUGUGUUCAAAUCAAAUCAAUGUUAUCUCGCUUACGAAUGAAGAUGCCUUGAGUGACAGCCGACGACGCAGCUUUGAAUUGGCAACGUUAAAACAAUUCAACAUACACGGAGAAAGAUCUAAUAACUCCGAAACGACAUAUCUACAAGUUCGCACAGUUGACCUGCAUAACCGAGUUAAGUUCGUAGCAGGAUCAUCUUGAAUUGCUCCAUAGAACCAAUGCAUGUGAUCCACGUUAAGCGGAUGCAAACACUACGCCAUCUACUCCGCUAUAUAAGAGUACAUUGGUACAAAGCUGUCUCCGUGAACCGCUGAAAAAAAAUCGAUAUGACGUCACAGUUGAUAUGACGUCACUCAGCUGGUUCUAUGAGCAAAUAAUAACCAAGAAUAUUACGGAAACCAAAGAACUGCCGGUGGAAGAAAACACGAAGAAAAGAGAAAGACGGAACCAAAGCUCAAGAACGAAGAUGGAACCAUAGCAUACUCAGACUAAGAUUUAUUCUUGGUCGAUGUAAAUACUAACUUAUGUGAGCUGUAGCAUAAAAUAUCCCUUAUACUUAUUGAAUGCUUGUUUAAAAUUGGAUGUUUAUUGGUACACUGUGUGUGGUGUGGGGUCGGGAAGUAUACGGAGAUCAAAUAAUUAAAGUCCACCUUAUACACGUUAGUAAUGUAACGUGGUUGGGAAUCUUGGGUUUUAUUUCUCCAUUUGUGUGUGUGUGUGUGUGUGUAAACAACCUGCAUAAGAACGGUGCGCGCAGGUCAGAUUUCCCCAACUUUAACCCAUACUCCUGGUGUCACUUAUCAGCAAGGCCGGACAGUCGGCAUCAGAUAGAUAGAAGUGACAUCGCAAUAACUAGGGAUCGCUGUUAGGAAGUUUUAAGUUAGACAGAACUGGGACACUGCACCCGCGGCCGACACAACACGUGUCAUUGCACUCAGGCCAAACAAGCAGUGCCCGGUUUGCGAAAACCAUAUUCCAACACGCCGGUUGGUUAAAAGUCCGGUCAGCGAAAGCUGGUGGGUUCCAACUGCAAAACAAUUAGGCGCCAAACCUGCGACUAGGGUAGGGAUCAAAAAUACAAAAAAGUUAGCUCCCUGUUAGGCCCCCUAAAAACACUAACCCAUUACUUCUUUUAAAGGUGCAUUUAUGUUGUUAUUCCUUUUUUGAAUCGACAACAAGCGCGAA
Non-coding RNA from Ciona intestinalis (vase tunicate), 1362 nucleotides. The record is from RefSeq and is a predicted model, not a curated record. NCBI's taxonomy places the organism in Eukaryota, Metazoa, Chordata, Ascidiacea, Phlebobranchia, Cionidae.